This 104-nucleotide ribosomal RNA is filed under the name Blastodinium sp. ex Corycaeus sp. RNAcentral describes it as "partial 18S ribosomal RNA". It matches the Rfam family "Eukaryotic small subunit ribosomal RNA", at positions 1727 to 1831 of the family's 1831-position model. The record is from RNAcentral. Lineage: Eukaryota; Dinophyceae; Blastodiniales.
UUAGUUCCUGAAUCCUGCAGUGGAAAGUUUGGUGAACCUUAUCACUUAGAGGAAGGAGAAGUCGUAACAAGGUUUCCGUAGGUGAACCUGCGGAAGGGUCAUUC